GUGGGGAUGUGGCUCAAGUGGUAGCGUGCUUGCCUGGCAUGUGCAGGGCACUGGGUUCGAUCCUCAGCACCACA
RNAcentral lists this transfer RNA (74 nucleotides) under Marmota monax (woodchuck). RNAcentral's name for it is "tRNA.Ala". Lineage: Eukaryota; Metazoa; Chordata; Mammalia; Rodentia; Sciuridae. The record is from RNAcentral.